Molecule: ribosomal RNA, 836 nt
Filed under: uncultured bacterium
Lineage: Bacteria
Description: bacterial SSU rRNA
Rfam family: Bacterial small subunit ribosomal RNA
Source: RNAcentral
AGAGUUUGAUCAUGGCUCAGGAUGAACGCUGGCGGCGUGCCUAACACAUGCAAGUCGAACGGAGCGCUGAGACUUCGGUUUUUGUGCUUAGUGGCGGACGGGUGAGUAACGCGUGAGCAAUCUGCCUUUCAGAGGGGGAUAACGACUGGAAACGGUCGCUAAUACCGCAUAACGUAUUUUGCAGGCAUCUGCGAGAUACCAAAGGAGCAAUCCGCUGAAAGAUGAGCUCGCGUCUGAUUAGAUAGUUGGUGAGGUAACGGCCCACCAAGUCGACGAUCAGUAGCCGGACUGAGAGGUUGAACGGCCACAUUGGGACUGAGACACGGCCCAGACUCCUACGGGAGGCAGCAGUGGGGAAUAUUGCGCAAUGGGGGAAACCCUGACGCAGCAACGCCGCGUGAUCGAAGAAGGUCUUCGGAUUGUAAAGAUCUUUUAUCAGGGACGAAGAAAGUGACGGUACCUGAUGAAUAAGCUCCGGCUAACUACGUGCCAGCAGCCGCGGUAAUACGUAGGGAGCGAGCGUUAUCCGGAUUUACUGGGUGUAAAGGGCGAGUAGGCGGGCUGGUAAGUUGGAAGUGAAAUGUCGGGGCUUAACCCCGGAACUGCUUUCAAAACUGCUGGUCUUGAGUGAUGGAGAGGCAGGCGGAAUUCCUAGUGUAGCGGUGAAAUGCGUAGAUAUUAGGAGGAACACCAGUGGCGAAGGCGGCCUGCUGGACAUUAACUGACGCUGAGGAGCGAAAGCGUGGGGAGCAAACAGGAUUAGAUACCCUGGUAGUCCACGCCGUAAACGAUGGAUACUAGGUGUGGGAGGUAUUGACCCCUUCCGUGCCGCAGUU